UCCUUGUUGGAAACCAUGAUUCGUACAAAACUUGUUUCAACAGAAAAUAGAUUGAUAUAUCUUUCAGCAGUAGCUUUCCUAAGGGUAUUGGAGUAUAAUUGAUAAUUUGAAGUAUUUGUUCAAUGUGCCUCUUGAAUUCUGUCAGAAAUCGAGCUUUGGUCGAUUUCGCGCAUUCUGUUUCAUUUGUUUGGAAAUAGAUU
RNAcentral lists this long non-coding RNA (200 nucleotides) under Musa acuminata (dwarf banana). Its description in RNAcentral is "long non-coding RNA (MACU_LNC011801)". Lineage: Eukaryota; Viridiplantae; Streptophyta; Magnoliopsida; Zingiberales; Musaceae. The record is from RNAcentral.